GACGAACGCUGGCGGCGUGCCUAACACAUGCAAGUCGAGCGAGUUGAUUCUCUUCGGAGAUGAAGCUAGCGGCGGACGGGUGAGUAACACGUGGGCAACCUGCCUCAUAGAGGGGAAUAGCCUCCCGAAAGGGAGAUUAAUACCGCAUAAGAUUGUAGCUUCGCAUGAAGUAGCAAUUAAAGGAGUAAUCCGCUAUGAGAUGGGCCCGCGGCGCAUUAGCUAGUUGGUGAGGUAACGGCUCAACAAGGCGACGAUGCGUAGCCGACCUGAGAGGGUGAUCGGCCACAUUGGGACUGAGACACGGCCCAGACUCCUACGGGAGGCAGCAGUGGGGAAUAUUGCACAAUGGGGGAAACCCUGAUGCAGCAACGCCGCGUGAGUGAUGACGGCCUUCGGGUUGUAAAGCUCUGUCUUCAGGGACGAUAAUGACGGUACCUGAGGAGGAAGCCACGGCUAACUUCGUGCCAGCCGCCGCGGUAA
RNAcentral lists this ribosomal RNA (480 nucleotides) under uncultured bacterium. Its description in RNAcentral is "partial 16S ribosomal RNA". It matches the Rfam family "Bacterial small subunit ribosomal RNA", at positions 28 to 523 of the family's 1533-position model. The record is from RNAcentral.